CAAUUAUAUCGUAAAUUUAACUGUUAAUCUAAAGGGGUACAGCCCUUUAGACUAAGGAUACAACCUUAAUUAGAGAGUAAAACAUGUCAAUAACCAUAGUUGGCCUAAAAGCAGCCAUCAAUUAAGAAAGCGUUCAAGCUCAACAAUAACCUACCUCUUAAUUCAAUAAUUACUAUUUAACUCCUAAUUUACCACUGGACCAAUCUAUUAACUAAUAGAAGAAAUACUGUUAAUAUGAGUAACAAGAUUUAUAUCUCCUAGCACAAGCUUAUGUCAGACCAAAUAAUAACUGAUAGUUAACAGCCAUAUAAAUAUAACCUUACAUAGAUCAUUUAUUAACCCACUGUUAACCCAACACAGGUGUGCAUAAAGGAAAGAUUAAAAGGAAUAAAAGGAACUCGGCAAACACAAACCCCGCCUGUUUACCAAAAACAUCACCUCUAGCAUUACUAGUAUUAGAGGCACUGCCUGCCCAGUGACAACUGUUAAACGGCCGCGGUAUCCUGACCGUGCAAAGGUAGCAUAAUCAUUUGUUCCUUAAAUAGGGACUUGUAUGAAUGGCCACACGAGGGUUUAACUGUCUCUUAUUCCUAAUCAGUGAAAUUGACCUUCCCGUGAAGAGGCGGAAAUAAUCUAAUAAGACGAGAAGACCCUAUGGAGCUUUAAUUGACUUAACCCAACAGAAUAACAUUUGACUCCACCAAGGAUUAACAAGUAUUCUAACUGGGUUAUAAAUUUCGGUUGGGGUGACCUCGGAGCACAAAGCAACCUCCGAGAAAUAUCUACUAAGACCAACAAGUCGAAGUGAAAUUCUAAAUUGAUCCAGUCUUACUGAUCAACGGAACAAGUUACCCUAGGGAUAACAGCGCAAUCCUAUUCUAGAGUCCCUAUCGACAAUAGGGUUUACGACCUCGAUGUUGGAUCAGGACAUCCCAAUGGUGCAGCAGCUAUUAAUGGUUCGUUU
RNAcentral lists this ribosomal RNA (964 nucleotides) under Sorex volnuchini (Caucasian pygmy shrew). Its description in RNAcentral is "partial 16S ribosomal RNA". It matches the Rfam family "Bacterial large subunit ribosomal RNA", at positions 981 to 2578 of the family's 2925-position model. Lineage: Eukaryota; Metazoa; Chordata; Mammalia; Eulipotyphla; Soricidae. The record is from RNAcentral.